Molecule: unclassified non-coding RNA, 393 nt
Filed under: uncultured fungus
Lineage: Eukaryota; Fungi
Description: partial contains 5.8S ribosomal RNA and internal transcribed spacer 2
Rfam family: 5.8S ribosomal RNA (bases 1-133)
Source: RNAcentral
UGGCUCUCGCAUCGAUGAAGAACGCAGCGAAAUGCGAUAAGUAAUGUGAAUUGCAGAAUUCAGUGAAUCAUCGAAUCUUUGAACGCACCUUGCGCUCCUUGGUAUUCCUUGGAGCAUGCCUGUUUGAGUAUCAUGAAAUUCUCAAAACAAGUCUUUUGUUAAUUCAAUUGGCUUCGCUUUGGAUUUGGGGGUCUGCAGAUUCACGUCUGCUCCUCUUAAAUAUAUUAGCUGGAUCUCCAUGAACUUGGUUCCACUCAGCGUGAUAAGUAUCACUCGCUGAGGACACCCGUAAAAAGGUGGCCAGGCUCGAGGAUGAGCCGCUUCUAAUAGUCCAUUGACUUGGACAAAUUAAAUUUAUGAUCUGAUCUCAAAUCAGGUAGGACUACCCGCUGA